Molecule: long non-coding RNA, 1572 nt
Organism: Pan troglodytes (chimpanzee)
Lineage: Eukaryota; Metazoa; Chordata; Mammalia; Primates; Hominidae
Exons: 2
Source: RefSeq, a predicted model, not a curated record
AGAACAGAUUCUCCCACAGAGCCUUUAGAGGAAGCAAGACCCUGUCAACAGCUUUUCUGAGUUCUAGCCUUCAGAACUGUGAGAGAAUAAAUUUCAGCUUAUGGUACUUUUUAUAUGACAGCCCAAGGAAACUAACACAAGUAUUGGUGGAACACUUCUUCAACAAAUAGCACUUGAAUUAAGGCAGUGGCAGUAAAAAUGGAGAGGAGGAGGUAUGUGGUAGACCAGGGAUAUAUUUGCUAAAGGACAAACGAAGUAAUGAGACUUAGAAACAGAAUGAUGGAGCCAUAAAGAAUGCCUGAAAUGGUAAUAGGAUACAUGCUGGAAUGUUGAUGGGCCCUAUUUCCACAAGCCUCCAAAUCUGCUUCUAGAUCCCAUUCGAGCAAGGGAGGAUUUGUUAAGAAGAAAGGCCCUUUGAGAGCACCAGUCCCUCCACCAGCCAGUCUAGUCCUAAGAGCUCUGAAGGCCAACCUUAGAGGUGGUUCAGGAGGGAAAAUGCAGGACCCAGGAUUUCAGUUGCCAAGCCAGAGAGCAGGGGACCCAGGAAAGAAUAUUGGCAUUCAUUUGAUUUUUCCAUCUUCUGAUAUAACCUUCAAAUGUUAAUAGUGUGUCGAAGAAUUUAUUGGAAGUGAGAAACAAGAAAACAGUGAGUCUAACCUAGUCAUUCUAGAAUUGGGAGGUAAUAGAAAAGAGAGAAAUGGGAAAGUUGCUCAAAUGCAAGUCCAGUGAAUCAGAGAGAAAAGGCUCAAAGCAGCAGAACAAAGCUUCAAUAAAGAGAUAUUGUGACUUGGAGAGAUGGCCUUUUGUCCUUUGUUCUAUUACCGGUCAGAGGAUGGGGAGCACACCCGAGCCUGAGACAACAGCUCUGCUAAGUGCCCUUGAGAGGGCACGGUGGGGUCAGCACCAAAGCCAGACCACUAAAGAGAAAAAGAGAGAAAGACAGGAUUGCAGAGGAGAAAUGAGAAUGGCAGAAAAAAAAUAUUUUUAAGCCAAAAGGAAUCAGAGAAGAGCAGAAGUGCCUCUAGGAUAAAGCGUAGCAGGCAGUUAGGGAAAAAGGGCUGUUAACUACCUUGAAGCUCUGACUACAUUAGAAAGCCUCGCAAGACAGUUGUUGCUUGCACGGGCAGGUAGAGAACUUUUCCUGUCCAUUGUUCUUCUGAAUUAUAAAUCACUGACCUCUUUAUGAUUUCUAAAGGGAGAAUGACUUCAAGCUUCUUAGAGUUCCCCUAAGGCAUUCUCUAUAUUCAAUAUAAUAUGGGAAGCCCUGGGUUUGUCUUUGUAUGUUUCAUCUGCAGUGACCUGAAAUCUUCAUAACCCUCUUCCUUUCUCCACUUAUCAACUAAGGGGUGGUUGGCAAUAAGGAUGGGUGGGAGAUUAAAAAAACCAGAAUUUGAGGAGGAGAGCAUUUAAACCAUCAGACUGUGUGUUCUGUGACAUCAAAGACUGGCAACAUUCUAAAGGAAAAGCAGCUGUGAAGUCAUAAUUAUGUUCACUUCCCACUGGCAACUGGCAAGCCCUUUAUUUUUGUGCAUUUGGAACUCACCAAGAAUAAAUAAAGUCCAUUCCCUCCUU